RNAcentral lists this small nuclear RNA (23 nucleotides) under Arabidopsis thaliana (thale cress). RNAcentral's name for it is "snRNA_07569". Lineage: Eukaryota; Viridiplantae; Streptophyta; Magnoliopsida; Brassicales; Brassicaceae. The record is from RNAcentral.
GAUGAUGUAAUUUUGAGGAAUAU